CCUACGGGGGGCUGCAGUGAGGAAUAUUGGUCAAUGGGCGCAAGCCUGAACCAGCCAUGUCGCGUGAAGGAAGACGGCCCUACGGGUUGUAAACUUCUUUUGUAAGGGAAUAAAGUGUAGUACGUGUACUAUUUUGCAUGUACCUUACGAAUAAGGAUCGGCUAACUCCGUGCCAGCAGCCGCGGUAAUACGGAGGAUCCGAGCGUUAUCCGGAUUUAUUGGGUUUAAAGGGUGCGCAGGCGGGAGAUUAAGUCGGCGGUGAAAUUUUGCAGCUUAACUGUAAAAGUGCCUUCGAAACUGGUUUCCUUGAGUGUAGAUGAAGUAGGCGGAAUUUGUGGUGUAGCGGUGAAAUGCAUAGAUAUCACGAGGAACUCCGAUUGCGCAGGCAGCUUACUAAACUACUACUGACGCUCAGGCACGAAAGCGUGGGGAUCAAACAGGAUUAGAUACCCCGGUAGUC
This 460-nucleotide ribosomal RNA is filed under the name uncultured Porphyromonadaceae bacterium. Its description in RNAcentral is "bacterial SSU rRNA". It matches the Rfam family "Bacterial small subunit ribosomal RNA", at positions 338 to 795 of the family's 1533-position model. Lineage: Bacteria; Pseudomonadati; Bacteroidota; Bacteroidia; Bacteroidales; Porphyromonadaceae. The record is from RNAcentral.